RNAcentral lists this signal recognition particle RNA (312 nucleotides) under Ipomoea nil (Japanese morning glory). RNAcentral describes it as "Plant signal recognition particle RNA". It matches the Rfam family "Plant signal recognition particle RNA". The record is from Rfam by way of RNAcentral. Lineage: Eukaryota; Viridiplantae; Streptophyta; Magnoliopsida; Solanales; Convolvulaceae.
GCUGGGCUUGGUAACGCGAGCCUGUAACCCAAGUCAAGUGGGAGCAUUAAGAUGGUUGAAUGAUGAUUGGAUUUACCUUGAAAGCUGGGCUUGGGGUGCUAUUUACCGGCCUGCCCUUUCCAAGUGGUGAGUUGGGUUGUGGAGUCUUUGCGAAGGCGUAGGCUUGUCGGCUCUUAGACCGGGAGGGUAUUGCGUCAGGCUGGUUUCACAGAGCAGCGAACACCUCCUCCUCUCUGCAGUGGAAGGAUAACAGGUCGGAGCUUCUUCAGUCCACUAGAGCCUGAUGGGUUGCCCAAUUGAACCACCAUCUUU